UGGGGAGUGGAAGAUGGCAAAACAAUAAUGCUGGAAAACAAACCAGUUUCACUAAAAAAGAGAUGUUGACAGGAAGCCAGGAAGGCUGGUCAACAACCUUAAUUGCUCUAACCUUUAGUUGAGAUAUUGUUAGCUGAAGCAGCCUCCACCUUGUUUGUCCCGUGUAAGUUUCUGUUAUUUUCAGCCUAAGGGCUAAAUGUAAACUUCUCUUUAUGUUGCCUAAGAUGUUUUCCCCAAAGCUUCAAUAAAAGGGGAUGGCAGGGUCAGAGCAGUAGUAGUUCUCCCACUAGAGUUGGACUACUGCCUGGCCUCCCAUAUGGCCAAAUUGAAUUUUUUCAAGUCUCAAGUCUCUUCAUUUGUGUGCAGCCCUUCUUCAGAACCUGAACCCUGAAUUGGAACUCUUUCCA
Pipistrellus kuhlii (Kuhl's pipistrelle) is the source of this 407-nucleotide long non-coding RNA. RefSeq lists it as uncharacterized. The transcript has 4 exons. Lineage: Eukaryota; Metazoa; Chordata; Mammalia; Chiroptera; Vespertilionidae. The record is from RefSeq and is a predicted model, not a curated record.